GUACCUUUUGGUUCGGAACAACACAGGGAAACUUGUGCUAAUACCGGAUAAGCCCUUACGGGGAAAGAUUUAUCGCCGAAAGAUCGGCCCGCGUCUGAUUAGCUAGUUGGUGAGGUAACGGCUCACCAAGGCGACGAUCAGUAGCUGGUCUGAGAGGAUGAUCAGCCACAUUGGGACUGAGACACGGCCCAAACUCCUACGGGAGGCAGCAGUGGGGAAUAUUGGACAAUGGGCGCAAGCCUGAUCCAGCCAUGCCGCGUGAGUGAUGAAGGCCCUAGGGUUGUAAAGCUCUUUUGUGCGGGAAGAUAAUGACGGUACCGCAAGAAUAAGCCCCGGCUAACUUCGUGCCAGCAGCCGCGGUAAUACGAAGGGGGCUAGCGUUGCUCGGAAUCACUGGGCGUAAAGGGUGCGUAGGCGGGUCUUUAAGUCAGAGGUGAAAUCCUGGAGCUCAACUCCAGAACUGCCUUUGAUACUGAGGAUCUUGAGUUCGGGAGAGGUGAGUGGAACUGCGAGUGUAGAGGUGAUAUUCGUAGAUCUUCGCAAGAACACCAGUGGCGAAGGCGGCUCACUGGCCCGAU
Molecule: ribosomal RNA, 578 nt
Filed under: uncultured Alphaproteobacteria bacterium
Lineage: Bacteria; Pseudomonadati; Pseudomonadota; Alphaproteobacteria
Description: bacterial SSU rRNA
Rfam family: Bacterial small subunit ribosomal RNA
Source: RNAcentral